UGCAGGGAUGAAAUGUGCCCCCUCUCUCUCAUUCAGGACAUGCUGGAGAGCUGGUGGCCUGGCAGGCAGAGAGGAAGGCGAGAGGACCAAGAGAGAGCAAGUUAAACAGCCAAGCCAGAACAGGAGAAGUGAGAGCAGAGAGAAGAAGGAGGAAAAGAAGAGAAAGAGAGAGCCUCUCCUGGAGGCAAUAACGACCGGAAGGGCUACAAGUCCGGAUGCGGGGUGGCAGCCGUGCAGAUGCCACUGCUAAGGUUGGUGGGUUAAUGAACGAGGGGAGA
Molecule: long non-coding RNA, 278 nt
Filed under: Capra hircus (goat)
Lineage: Eukaryota; Metazoa; Chordata; Mammalia; Artiodactyla; Bovidae
Description: lncRNA (ENSCHIG00000004237.1)
Source: RNAcentral